RNAcentral lists this ribosomal RNA (393 nucleotides) under uncultured bacterium. Its description in RNAcentral is "partial 16S ribosomal RNA". It matches the Rfam family "Bacterial small subunit ribosomal RNA", at positions 523 to 918 of the family's 1533-position model. The record is from RNAcentral.
AUACGGAGGGUGCAAGCGUUAUCCGGAUUUAUUGGGUUUAAAGGGUGCGUAGGCGGUUUGAUAAGUCAGCGGUGAAAUAUUUCAGCUUAACUGGAAGGGUGCCGUUGAUACUGUCGAGCUUGAAUUUAGUUGCUGUGGGUGGAAUGUGUGGUGUAGCGGUGAAAUGCAUAGAUAUCACACAGAAUAUCGAUUGCGAAGGCAGCUCACAAAGCUAAUAUUGACGCUGAUGCACGAAAGUGUGGGGAUCAAACAGGAUUAGAUACCCUGGUAGUCCACACUGUAAACGAUGAAUGUUAGGUGUCGGGUGUCAAAGCUCGGUGCCGCAGUUAACGCAUUAAACAUUCCGCCUGGGGAGUACGAUGGCAACAUUGAAACUCAAAUGAAUUGGCGGGG